Molecule: ribosomal RNA, 700 nt
Filed under: uncultured bacterium
Lineage: Bacteria
Description: bacterial SSU rRNA
Rfam family: Bacterial small subunit ribosomal RNA
Source: RNAcentral
CGCGCGCGAAAGUCGCAAGACAAGUAAAGCGGCGGACGGGCGAGUAACGCGUAAUCAACCUGCCCUUGAGACUGGAAUAGCCACUGGAAACGGUGGGUAAUGCCAGAUGGCCCCCCGGGUCGGCAUCGACCUGUGGGUAAACGGUGGCGCAAGCUGCUGCUCAGGGAGGGGAUUGCGUCCUAUCAGCUAGUUGGCGGGGUAAUGGCCCACCAAGGCGAUGACGGGUAGCUGGUCUGAGAGGACGACCAGCCGCACUGGGACUGAGACACUGCCCAGACUCCUACGGGAGGCUGCAGUCGAGAAUCUUCCGCAAUGGGCGAAAGCCUGACGGAGCGACACCGCGUGCAGGACGAAGGCCUUCGGGUUGUAAACUGCUGUCACGCCAUAUGAAACCCAGGCCGUUAAUACCGGCCUGGUCGACUAAAGCGAGAGGAAGUGGCGGCUAACUCUGUGCCAGCAGCCGCGGUAAGACAGAGGCCACGAACGUUGUUCGGAAUUACUGGGCAUAAAGCGCACGUAGGCGGCUAGGUCCGUCCGAUGUGAAAUACCCCGGCUCAACCGGGGAACUGCAUCGGAUACAGCCUGGCUUGAGGAUGGUUGGGGUGAGUGGAACUCCUGGUGGAGCGGUGAAAUGCGUAGAUAUCAGGAGGAACACCGGUGGCGAAAGCGGCUCACUGGACCAUUACUGACGCUGAGGUGC